CACUUCUGUUCUCUGUCCCUUAUACCAUAUUUUUGCAUGUCACCUUUCUAGAGUAAAGGCUAGAAUUUGGCAUCUGUAUCUCUUUAAAAACUGAAACUUAAUUGCAUUAUAACGCCAGUUGCAAUAUGGCUUCAAGUGGUUGUUGUGUUAGUUAGAUUUCUUCUGGAACAGCAACAACAACAAAAAAAUCCUGUACUGAAUGAAAAUGAGUUGUUAAAGAAAUGUGAAAAUAAUCAAAUGAAGGAAAACUAACGAAAAAAGUUCACAGAGCAGAAAUCUGAAGAAAAUGAAGUUGUUGACAUAAGGAACCAGUGCUACAGCUGAAGCAACAGUGCAGAACUACUUUCUUCAAGAAGUGUGGUAAUUGGAAAGAUUCAGAGGCUGUUACUUAAUGCUACUUACUGUAGAAGACUGCCUGCUGAAUAUGUUUUUCCUGCGUGAAACCACAGGCUUGGAGAAGCUAUGAGGUGCAUGGCCUCCAUCAGGACACGCUGCCAAAGCCAGAUAGUAAUAAAACAACAACAAGUUUCAUGUACUACCACGAAAUAAAAGAUGACAACAGCCCAUACAAUAUUUAUACUACAAUUCAUUGAUGUUUAACAGAGAUCAGGAAGGAAGGUCCAACCACUGCACAGUUCUGGAAGAAAUAGGUCAGAAGCAGAUGACAGAAGGGUGUUGGUAGCACAUGUGCAACAGAACUGCAGCCACAGCAUCCUGGAAGAGGUGCUCAUGGGAGGUAAGAGCUCCUGCUUCUGGACACCUGUUUUUUGCUAAACUCAACUUAGAAAAAGUACUGCUGAAUCUUUUGGCCUCUUUGAGAAGUACUGUAAUUCCAGUACACCGAAUUUGUACCAGCAAAGGUAAUCUCCCAUUUGCAAAGAGAAAUGCAAUCCACUUAACCAUCGAGUGGCCAUGCUGUGAUUCAGCAUGCUGAACAGUAGCAGGAACUGAUUGAACACUUCCUUUCCAGGCUCUUUCACUCACAGUGCCUCUUUUCCCAGUAUUGCAUGCUUUGCUCACACAGUAACAAUCCCUGUUUGAAGCAUAACUUCUAAGUGAGCAACUGCUGAAGCUUUAUGUCUGUGUAGAUAACAAAAUGAAGAUCUGAAGGUAUGGUGCAGAAACAUCAGAACCAGCGCCUUCAAUUGUAAGCUGCCGCAGGCUGUGUAGGAGUGCAAAGGGGUGAAACCAUGGCUGACCACAGUAUUUGACUAAAGAGACGAAAGUAAUGGAGGAAAAAAGUGUCUUGAGAGCAAAACAGAUUUGUUUUAAAAUCCUUUCCAUUAUACAUUAAAAAUACUACAUAGCAGUGCUAUGGAAAACCAUUCAUACGUAUUAGAGCAAAACUGUUGGGUUACAUCUUUGUAACCAAGUAAUUUCGUUGAGAACAAGAGCUGUUCCUAGCUCAUACUUGUGUAACUGAAGUAGAUUCUGAGUAUUUAUUUAAAAUGCAACCUGAGGCUAUUAGUUUUGUAAUAAACCUUUACAAUAUCUAGGAAAAAAACCCACUCAAUUUAAAUAUCUCAAAUCACUUCUUCAAGAAGCAUCUUCAGUGCUAAAAACACAUAAACAUAAGAACAUAUUGCUAAAUACAGUGAAAAUACAGAAAUAGCCACACAAACACUAUGCUAUGGAAAUAUUUUAAUUCCAAAUGGAAUGUAUUUGAUGAAAUAAACAUUUCUGCUAUAUUCUGUUUCUAAAGAGAAUGCCCAUUAAUACAAAAUCAAAGAAAGAUAAACCAUAGUCUUCUUUAUAGAGGGAGUUCUUUUCAGCUACAGGUCCAGAACACAGACAAGCUAAAAUGGAAGCAAAACCGGUGCUGGAUCAAUUCCAACACUUGCAGAUCUCCCAUUUAAAUAAUUAUUUUUGAGGUAAAAAUCAGAAUUUCUAUUUCUGUAUGCAAACAAAGUAGAUUUUACUGUAUAAUUAUCAAAUCAGUGAACAAGAACUAUUAUGUGAGAUAAACUUUGUUUGUCCAGACCAUAGCCAAUGAGUGAUGAACAAGUAUUCAAUUUAUUUUCAAUGUCAUCACUACUUCUGCUUAUUUAAUUUUUAGAAAGUCUCCAGCAAUAGAUUUGCAUUAGAUGUGCAUUAGACCACAAGCAAUACAUUAAAACAGAAUUUUCUAAUUCCUAGGUCUGCAAGAAAAAAAAUUCUCUGCCAGUUGAGUUUGCUCUGGUCAGAGCUGACUGAAACACUGUUUGUUCUUUAAGAAGUUACCAUGCAAAACGUGCGUGUAUCUUCAUGCUCUCCUUGUAACCUGAGGAAGCACCAAUAUAAAGCAACAUAUCAGAGGUAAUUUUGCAUACACUAAUUAAUAUUCAGCGUUAUAAUAAUACACUAAACUAAUUACUGCAUCUACGAAGAUGUGUUUAAAAAAUCUGCCAUUCUGAUCCUGCUCACCUUGCUUUUAGAGCUUACAAUAGUGUGCUAAAAUAGUGUACUAAAAUCGUGCUCAUCAGCAAGAGCAAUCCGACUGUUCCUAAUCUUAAUGUAAAUCAGUAAAACUGCUAAUGAAGGCUCAUUGAAUUUGGCAAAAGCUUGAAAUCCCAGCACUGGAUGCAAAACCCUUUCCAUCUAAAGCAGCUGAAAUAUAGGAAGAGUCUGGAACAAAACAAAAGGAUAAAACUGUAACACAAGCAUGUGCUAAUGCUCUGCAGCUGCUGGUAUUUGAAUGCCAUCCUGUAAGUUUCUCCACACCUCUGACAGCCAACUUAUAUGAUCUUUGAGGACAUGAGAUUAAGUUCCACUUUAAUUGCAUAGCACAGAAUGUAGAAGCAACUACCAUUUACGUUAACUGUAUCCUAACAAAUACUGCAUAUGGAAACAUAAUACUGUAUAUUAAAAUUGUUUCUUUCAUCAAUUUAAAAUUUCACAUUUGGUCUCCAGUAACUAGGAAAAAGCCACUAAAAAUAUUUCUUAAGUCUAUUCCUGAGCAUUGUUUUCGUGUAAAAUACUCUGGUUUAUUACUACAUUUAUCAAUAUUCUCACAUUUUAAACUAUAUAUAAAUCCAUGCUUGGAAAUUUUACAAAGCUGAAGACCUAGUAGACACAAUGAAAGAACAGAAACAGCUAAGCAUCUUAAGACCAAGAGAGAUGAGAUCACCAAGACAAGUGCAGUUUAACUAUGUACAUAGUAUAUCUUUAGUAACUGAUGGUUUCUCACUAGCUAUAGGAAUGAGAAGGAUCCACUUGUAAAAAUCCAGUCUGCCAGACCUCAGCUUACUUCUCAUCAACAGUUCACUGUGACAGGUGGCUGACGAUGAACAAAUGGUGUUCAGUAUUUCAUUUAAAAAUCAAAUUUCAAAACAAUUUCUAGAUUUUCAACAAGAUAGUCCCCAGCUAAAAGCUGAACUGACACUUGAAUACUCGCUGAAUUACUUUCAUAUUCUCCUGUAUCCCAGACACAAGAAGAAUCAGAGGGUCUAAGGACAGAACUCAACUCUGGCUGAACAAUUUUAUGGUAUUUCCCCAUGCCACUUGUCUAAAUCUUCAGAUAAGAAGCAAAUCAAACUGACACAGGCUGGGCCAUGGAAUAGAGAAUAGUCAUCACAGGUGGCUAAGAAUAGGUAUUUUUUGUAUCAAAAUAUAUCUUUGCUUGAACUUACAUUGGUCUUCAAGCUCAUAACCUAAGAGUCUAUUUUCUGGAUUUUGAGAGCUUACCAGUUUUGAACAUUAGGUCACAGAUUGUGCAGCAAUAUUUUCAUUUGGCAUUAGUCAUCAAUAUCCACGUGCAAUUUGAAAUAUUCAAGGUUUACAAAAUGAACAUGAAGGAACGCUGUCUGUAAACAGUGAAGUUUUCUGGGUAUAAAAAUAUGCAUUUGAUUUUAUUAAUCUGCCACUAUUGAAGCUGCCUGCUCUCUAACAAAUGUCUGUCUUUAAAAAAAUCCUUUUAGUAUUAAAAUAUUCCAGUACAUUAUCUCCAUUCUUCUUCCUAGCAAAAAAAACACAUCCAAUUCAUCCAAAAAUUCAUCAUCUCCUAUGAAGAAUUAGUUUCACUUUGCAUAGAUAAGCUGCUCCAUUAUUUUAUAAAAACAAUUGAGCCCUUUCCCAUCAGAACAAAACACUAUGAAACCUGUCACAAAAUAACAUCUCUUUUAAAGAGCUCAGAUCCUAUUCUCUCAAAUGCACAAAAAGGAGUGCAGAAGAAACACUACAGACU
Molecule: long non-coding RNA, 4162 nt
Organism: Tympanuchus pallidicinctus (lesser prairie-chicken)
Lineage: Eukaryota; Metazoa; Chordata; Aves; Galliformes; Phasianidae
Exons: 5
Source: RefSeq, a predicted model, not a curated record